RNAcentral lists this ribosomal RNA (497 nucleotides) under uncultured bacterium. RNAcentral describes it as "partial 16S ribosomal RNA". It matches the Rfam family "Bacterial small subunit ribosomal RNA", at positions 28 to 507 of the family's 1533-position model. The record is from RNAcentral.
GAUGAACGCUGGCGGCGUGCCUAAUACAUGCAAGUCGAGCGAACAGACGAGGAGCUUGCUCCUCUUACGUUAGCGGCGGACGGGUGAGUAACACGUGGAUAACCUACCUAUAAGACUGGGAUAACUUCUGGAAACCGGAGCUAAUACCGGAUAAUAUCUUUAACCGUAUGGUUCAAUAUUGAAAGACGGUUUUGCUGUCACUUAUAGAUGUAUCCGCGUCGCAUUAGCUGGUUGGUAAGUUAACGGCUUACCAAGGCGACGAUGCGUAGCCGACCUGAGAGGGUGAUCGGCCACACUGGAACUGAGAAACGGUCAAGACUCCAACGGGAGGCAGCAGUAGGGAAUCUUCCGAAAGGGGCGAAAGCCUGACGGAGAAACGCCGCGUGAGUGAUGAAGGUCUUCGGAUCGAAAAACUCUGUUAUUAGGGAAGAACAAAUGUGUAAGUAACUAUGCACGUCUUGACGGUACCUAAUCAGAAAGCCACGGCUAACUACGUG